Molecule: ribosomal RNA, 1232 nt
Filed under: Leuconostoc carnosum
Lineage: Bacteria; Bacillati; Bacillota; Bacilli; Lactobacillales; Lactobacillaceae
Description: bacterial SSU rRNA
Rfam family: Bacterial small subunit ribosomal RNA
Source: RNAcentral
GCAUUAGUUAGUUGGGGGGUAAAGGCCUACCAAGACAAUGAUGCAUAGCCGAGUUGAGAGACUGAUCGGCCACAUUGGGACUGAGACACGGCCCAAACUCCUACGGGAGGCUGCAGUAGGGAAUCUUCCACAAUGGGCGAAAGCCUGAUGGAGCAACGCCGCGUGUGUGAUGAAGGCUUUCGGGUCGUAAAGCACUGUUGUAUGGGAAGAAAAGUUAAGGUAGGGAAUGACCUUAGCCUGACGGUACCAUACCAGAAAGGGACGGCUAAAUACGUGCCAGCAGCCGCGGUAAUACGUAUGUCCCGAGCGUUAUCCGGAUUUAUUGGGCGUAAAGCGAGCGCAGACGGUUGGUUAAGUCUGAUGUGAAAGCCCGGAGCUCAACUCCGGAAAGGCAUUGGAAACUGGUUAACUUGAGUGCAGUAGAGGUAAGUGGAACUCCAUGUGUAGCGGUGGAAUGCGUAGAUAUAUGGAAGAACACCAGCGGCGAAGGCGGCUUACUGGACUGUAACUGACGUUGAGGCUCGAAAGUGUGGGUAGCAAACAGGAUUAGAUACCCUGGUAGUCCACACCGUAAACGAUGAACACUAGGUGUUAGGAGGUUUCCGCCUCUUAGUGCCGAAGCUAACGCAUUAAGUGUUCCGCCUGGGGAGUACGACCGCAAGGUUGAAACUCAAAGGAAUUGACGGGGACCCGCACAAGCGGUGGAGCAUGUGGUUUAAUUCGAAGCAACGCGAAGAACCUUACCAGGUCUUGACAUCCUUUGAAGCUUUUAGAAAUAGAAGUGUUCUCUUCGGAGACAAAGUGACAGGUGGUGCAUGGUCGUCGUCAGCUCGUGUCGUGAGAUGUUGGGUUAAGUCCCGCAACGAGCGCAACCCUUAUUGUUAGUUGCCAGCAUUCAGAUGGGCACUCUAGCGAGACUGCCGGUGACAAACCGGAGGAAGGCGGGGACGACGUCAGAUCAUCAUGCCCCUUAUGACCUGGGCUACACACGUGCUACAAUGGCGUAUACAACGAGUUGCCAACCUGCGAAGGUGAGCUAAUCUCUUAAAGUACGUCUCAGUUCGGACUGCAGUCUGCAACUCGACUGCACGAAGUCGGAAUCGCUAGUAAUCGCGGAUCAGCACGCCGCGGUGAAUACGUUCCCGGGUCUUGUACACACCGCCCGUCACACCAUGGAAGUUUGUAAUGCCCAAAGCCGGUGGCCUAACCGUAAGGAGGGAACCGUCUAAGGC